CGAUCACCGAAGUUAAGCAACGUUGAGCCUGGCUAGUACCUGGAUGGGUGACGGUUUGGGAAUACGUGUUGCUGUAA
This is a non-coding RNA of Acanthosepion pharaonis, 77 nucleotides long. Lineage: Eukaryota; Metazoa; Mollusca; Cephalopoda; Sepiida; Sepiidae. The record is from the annotation of a GenBank genome assembly.